RNAcentral lists this non-coding RNA (164 nucleotides) under human gut metagenome. Its description in RNAcentral is "Lysine riboswitch". It matches the Rfam family "Lysine riboswitch aptamer". From Rfam's summary of the family: Riboswitches are metabolite binding domains within certain messenger RNAs that serve as precision sensors for their corresponding targets. Allosteric rearrangement of mRNA structure is mediated by ligand binding, and this results in modulation of gene expression. This family includes riboswitches that sense lysine in a number of genes involved in lysine metabolism, including lysC. The record is from RNAcentral.
UGAUAGAGGAUGCGGAUGCGAAAAGUAACGCACAACAACGACGGCAAUCGGUUGUGUGUGAAAGGCAAUUCCGCCGAAGCAGUUUUUUGUUUGCCGACGGCUUUCUGCUGGGACGAUAUUUAAAAGAUAUCGGACUGUCAUAUUUUAAAUGUGGAGAGCUAUCA